This 117-nucleotide non-coding RNA is filed under the name Homo sapiens (human). The record is from Rfam by way of RNAcentral. Lineage: Eukaryota; Metazoa; Chordata; Mammalia; Primates; Hominidae.
GCCGGGUGCGGUGGCUCACACCUGUAAUCCCAGCACUUUGGGAGGCUGAGGCGGGUGGAUCACCUGAGGUCAGGAGUUCUAGACCAGCCUGGCCAACAUGGUGAAACCCCAUCUCUA